CCUUGCUUUAGCAAGGCU
RNAcentral lists this unclassified non-coding RNA (18 nucleotides) under Mus musculus (house mouse). RNAcentral describes it as "partial derived from hnRNA or mRNA fragment, or novel small non-messenger RNA without known sequence-or structural motifs". The record is from RNAcentral. Lineage: Eukaryota; Metazoa; Chordata; Mammalia; Rodentia; Muridae.